UCCGCCUUGGUGUAACGGCAGCACGACGGCCUUUGGUGCCGUUAGGUCCGGGUUCGAAUCCUGGAGGCGGAG
Curtobacterium sp. ER1/6 is the source of this 72-nucleotide non-coding RNA. The record is from Rfam. NCBI's taxonomy places the organism in Bacteria, Bacillati, Actinomycetota, Actinomycetes, Micrococcales, Microbacteriaceae.